UCUGGCACAUGCUAAGCAGCGUUGGGUCUGGUUAGUACUUGGAUGGGAGACAACUGGGAAUCCCGGGUGCCAUAU
RNAcentral lists this ribosomal RNA (75 nucleotides) under Periophthalmus magnuspinnatus. Lineage: Eukaryota; Metazoa; Chordata; Actinopteri; Gobiiformes; Gobiidae. The record is from RNAcentral.